UAACAAGCUUCCAAGGAUGUGGGUGCCGAUGAUCCACAGACCUUCCUUUGUGCAGCAGGCCAUUAAACAACCAAAGGUAUGAAUGAACGCAGGGUUAAAAUAUACCUUUUUUUUUUCUGUUCAAGAAAAGUACUUUGCGAAGAAUACCUUUAGGUAACAAAUGCUUUCAAUAUACGAAAGAACUGAACCUAGAAGUUGCUUGGAUAAGUCAUCUGACAUAGUCCCCCACCUUCAGGCAAGCAAAGACCAAUGUCAGAGAUAGAUGAUUGCUACUUCUUUUCUUUAGCUCUGGCAAAUCUCAGUCAACACCCCCCCCCACACACACACACACUCCACAUACAUACAAUUACAAAAGCUAGUUACACAUUCUGUACAAUCACAAAAAGGAAUUUUCAUAUGCUGUACUACAUCUUUAUAUAUCAGAUGUAUCACUAAAAUUUUUAUCUGUAAAAGAAAUAGAACUGAAUCUUGCUAGUUAAACUUAGCCCAGUCCUAAGAGGCACCAGGCUGAUAACAAUGGAGGAAGAAAAAAGCAGUCAGAAAAUAUUACAGAGCCUAAAUUCUGCUACCAGCUUGGAGUGUGAUCUUGAGAAAGUCAUCUUGAAAUGACCUCUUUUUAUAACACUGAUCCAAUCUAUGAAAAAAGAAUUAUCACUGAGAUUAUUUCCAUCUGAAAGACUUUCAGAAAAUUACUUUAAUCAGAAAAGCAUAAGUCAGUGAUAUGAACAUUAAAGGGACUAUAAUAUCAUAAUAUUUGAGAUCUAGGAUUCUUUUUUUUUUUUUGAUGUUUAUUUAUUUUUGAGAGAGACAGAGACAGAAUGCGAGUGGGUUAGGGGCAGAGAGAGAGGGAGACACAGAAUCAGAAGCAGGCUCCAGGCUCUGAGCUGUCAGCACAGAGCCUGACACGGGGCUUGAACUCAAGCCGUGAAAUCAUGACCUGAGCCGAAGUUGGACGCUCAACUGACUGAGCCACCCAGGCACCCCAGAGAACUAGGAUUCUGAAGCCACACUUUCUGGGUUCAAAUCUUAGCUCUGUCACUUACUAGCUUUGGUAACCUUCUGUGUAUCUUGGGCAGAUUACUUUACCUCCCUAUUCCUCUAUUAAGAGAAAUAAUGAGAUGAUACAUGUCAAGUGCUUAGAAAGGCACCUGACGCAUAGGAAACACUCAAUAUAAUACUCAAUAAGGCACUAUUAUAAUUUUAAAGGAAAUAGAGGUUAGGAUGAUUAUUUCAACAAAUAUUUAUUGUUUCAGAGAUUGUGCUUGGUGCUGGAAUUACAAAAGUGAACAAAACAGUCAUGACCCCUACCCUCAUUGAGUUUGCAAAGAAGAGAGACAUUACCAUAAAUAUAGAAUUAGACCUGAAGGUAAAUGUUGUGAAAGAGAAAUACAUGCGGCUAGGACAGAAUAUAAGAGGGGAUUUAACUUAGGAAAAUUAGAGAAAGCUUCCACAAGGAAGUGACAAAUGAAUUAAAACAUGGACUAUUCCAGGACUUGAUGUGGCUAGAAUUCAGAGCAAGGGAAAACAAGGCCACAAAAUUGAAUAAGGGGCCAGUUCUUACAAGGCAUUGUGGGUCAUAAUAACGGUCUGGGUCUUUGUCUCAAGAGCUAUGGGAAGUCACUGAAGAAUUUUUAAGUAGGGGAGUAACACACAUUAUAGCUUCUAAAAGUUCCCUAUGGCUGUUGUAUGGGCCGAACACAUUGAAGGGAGAAAGGUAUAUAUGGGAAGACUGAUUUGGGAGUUGAGAGAGAGAAAGUUGUCAAGAAUAAUCUCAAAAUUUCUACAACUGAAAUGGUGGUAUUUGGGAGUGAGGAAUAAAAUAACUCAGUUUUAGAUAUGAGAUGAUUGAGGUGUCUUUGAGUAUGAACCUCAUCAGUUAGACAUAGGUGUCCAGAGCUCAGGGAACAGGUUGGGCUAGAGAUAAAAAUUGGGAAUCAUGCAAAUGUAGAUGUUAAAGGAAGCCAUGGACCAUAAUGUGUGCACCCAGAAGGCACAUGGAAUGAGAAUAGCAAAAGGCCAAGCUUUGAGGAAGUCUAAAUUUAAUAGCCAGAAGAGAAUAACAAGACUCCUAGGAGAGGUAGAAGGAGCUGCUGUAGAGGUAAGAGGAAAAGCGGGGGGUGGGGGGGGGGGUGGGGAAUGUUUAAGAUAACGAUGAAGUGAUCAGCAAUGUUGAAAGCAGCAAGAGAUCAAGUAUGAAUACUGAUGAUUUUUAUGAAGCAGUGAACCAAUUUCAAUGCUUCUGAAAGUCUCCUUUGGAGACUAGGUGAUUAAAAAAAUAAAAGAAGAGGAGAUUUAGAGUUCUGCAAGCAAAAGAGAGUCCUAAACAAUCAAGGAAUCUACAUUUCUUUUCCCCAAUUUCCCCUCCACACACACUAAAAAGAGAGCUACUGUUUGAAAGGGCACUUUGCUACACUGAGAGUAAGUGGCACUCUUGCACUACGCCUUAGCCAAGAGCCUAUCCAUGAAAUUAAUAAACAAAAAUAGUCUUCAUCUAUACAAGGCUUCUAUGAGAAGAAAACAGAAAGUGGGAAUUGAAACAUUUCAAUGGAUGAAAAUCUACCCCUGUAAAAACAACCAAAACCAGAAGAAAAGUAUAGAUAAUACGCCAUAUCAAAUUAAUUACUUGGUGAUGUGGAGGGGAAAAAACAACUCUGAAUUGGAAAUUCAGACUCACAGGAACAAAAAACAGAAAGAAAUCAAAUGAGAGUUGAUUGUACACAGGAAAGAAAUGGAAGUAAAAAGGCACAACCAUAUCAGAAGUGAUGACAAGAUUACAAGAUGCCCAGAAGAAGCUAUUCAAAUUAAAAGUUAAUAAGAGAUAUUGAAGAAAGCUAAGAGAAUGAAAAUAAAAUUUAAAAAGGAAUUUAAAAACUGUCAGAAAGCUGUUGAAAUGGAAGAGAGGCAAAGAAGAUCCAACAGACAUAUAUAAAAUUGGAGUUCCUGAAGAAGAAAAAGAAAACAAUGGAACAGAACUAACAUUUACAACUAUAGUCCAUAAAACUUUCCAGAAAUAAAAGAGGAUCUGAUUCUACAUAUUUAAAAAGUCCAUGAAAAAAAUUUUUUUUUUCAAUAAGAUGUCCAUCAAAUACUUGGGAAAACUAAGCCACAACAAUCAACUCCAAGACAUAUCCUAGCAAAACUAUUAGACUUUUUCAAAAAGAAAAAUCUUGGGGCGCCUGGGUGGCUCAGUCGGUUGAGUGUUUGACUUCGGCUCAGGUCAUGAUCUCACAGUUCAUGAGUUCAGGCCCUGCAUCAGGCUCUGUGCUGACAGCUCAGAGCCUGGAACCUGCUUCUAAUUCUGUGUCUCCCUCUCUCUCUCUGCCCCCCUGCCCCACACACACUCUGUCUCUCUCUGCCUCUCAAAAAUAAAGAAAACUAAUAAAAAAAUUAAAAAAAAAAGAAAAAUCUCUAAGCAAGGUAAUGAUAAUAACAUGUAAAUAGUAAGUUAAUUAAUGAACAUAAUUGCUUAAAAUAAUAAAGGCAAAAGAUUAAGUCAACAUAAGACCUCUCAAUAUCAACGUAGAAAGCAAGACAACCAUGGAGCAGCAAUUUUAAGACACUCAAGGAAAGAAAAUAUGAAUCAAGAAUUUUAUAUCCAGCCUAGGUAUCCUUCAAGUAGAAAACCAGUUUUAAACUUGCCACAACUCAGGGAAUACUACACUCAUGAACCUUUCUUGAGAAGUCUAUUAAGGACAAGCUUCAUCCUACCAGGAGAUGACUGGGAAAACUUCGUGAAAAAGGAUAGUAACCCUAGAUGUAAUGUGUAAGUGAUGAAUCAGUAAAUUCUAUUCCUCAAAUCAUUAUUACACUAUAUGUUAACUAACUUUAAAUAAAAAAGAAAAAAGAAAAAGGAUAGUAAGUACGUAUAUUCAAUGACAUAGUAAUUGUAUGUACCUAUAGUAAAUACUUACAUGCAAUUACAUAUAUGUAAUUGCAAACAGGUACUUUCCUUGGUGCAUUGACCUUAUAUCACCUGAAAAUCUUGGAAAUGGGCUGUGAGUCCUAUUUUAUUUUUUUUUUUAAAUUUUUUUUCAACGUUUUUUAUUUAUUUUUGGGACAGAGAGAGACAGAGCAUGAACGGGGGAGGGGCAGAGAGAGAGGGAGACACAGAAUCGGAAACAGGCUCCAGGCUCCGAGCCAUCAGCCCAGAGCCUGACGCGGGGCUCGAACUCACGGACCGCGAGAUCGUGACCUGGCUGAAGUCGGACGCUUAACCGACUGCGCCACCCAGGCGCCCCUGUGAGUCCUAUUUUAGAUCAUACCUUGGAUGAAGAGAGAGGUUGUGGGAUCAGGUGAAAUAAACCAGAGGGAAAGUUUCUCACUUUAAGAUGUUCUGAGGCAAUUAGGGCCAGUUCAUUCAAAACAUUUUACACUUUUACUGUAUGGUAUGGAAAUACCACAAAUCUGAGUCAAAAAAACUUCUGUGGUUCCUGUAAUACAAACUCAUGGAGACUCUCCUAACUUUGGUCUGAAUGUGCUGUUUAUCCAUCUUUUAGUUUCUGCAUUGUGGUCUAAAUGUUUUAAGUAUGUCUGAUUUUUGUCUGUGUGAACUGUGACAGGGAUAAAGUUGGGUAGGUUACUUCCUAAAUGUUUUCCUCUCCUCUGUUUAUUAUAUAACCUAGGUGUCAUAUUAAUAAUUCUAUGAUUUAGAGAGGGCUUUACUACUUUCAAAGUCUUUCACAGACAUCUCAUUUUGAUUUUGAUUUCAAGGAUGCUAAUGGAAAAUUUUAAUUUUAAGAUCUCUGUUUAUGCAUUUGUGACACUGUUUGAGCUAAGCCAAGCCAUCCGAUCUUCCCUCACAACCUCCUUCCACUAUCACCCACCCCAAGGAAAAUUUGGAUCAAGGGUACUUAAUGACAAGAGGAGGUAUAAAAUCCAGGCGUGAAAAAUUACAGCUAUUGCUUAUCAAAAAUUGAAGCAAUAAUCAAAAGUUAGGUGGCAACUAGUUUUAAGUGUCUGCCAAUAAAAUUGGGGGAAUUGGGGACAGCAUUAAUACUGCAAAGCAGAGAAUAACAAGGAAAUUAGGUAGGUGGCAGAUUAUUGACAUAACAACCUUUUUUUUUUUUUUCUUUUUUGGAAACACAGUAUUCGUGCUUAGCACUUUAGUGCCUAUGAAGAUAAACAAUGCAAAACCUGACCUUAUGGAACUCUUAUUCUAGGGAGGAAAUGGAUAUGUGCAAUUUUAAUUGUAACACAAUGCAAAUUGUGUUAAAUAUUUUAAAGUAGCAGAAAGUGGCUGUAGAAGCAUUAGAAGGAAAGAAAAAUUCCUCUUCCCAGGUCAGCAUCACCUGGGAAUUUGUUAGAAAUGCGAAUUCUCACGUCCACCCUAGACCUUCUGAAACAGAAACUCUAGGAUGGGUCCCAGCCCUGUGUGUUUUAGUAAGCCCUACCCGUAAUGUUCAUGCUGAAGUAGGAGAAACACUGAUAUCAGAUACUCAUACCUGGUAAUAUGACUUCUAGGGGGUCUAGAAAGAAAUAUUGCCAAUUUUAUGCAAAUAUUUGUGUUUCAAAGUGUUUUUUGCAGCCUAAGAUGUGAGACAAAAAAUUGAAAACAACCUAAAUAUCCAACAAUAGGGGAAUUAUUAAUCAUUAUAGUUAUAUGUCAAUUAAAAUGCCAGCCACAUCUACCAUCCUUGCUAUGGGAAACUGCUCAGCCAAGAGACACAGCCCUCCAGGUUUCCUUUAUAGAAGCCCCAUCUCUACCCUAUGAACCACUUUGCCUAUUAGAUGCCUGUUAGAUGAGGCAUGCAGUCACUCCCUAGAAGGCCAACACCCACUGGCAUGAGGCCACCUUGAAAAGCUGGCCAGGCAUGAGGUGAUGAUCAGCUGAAAUGAGUCUUCCUCUUGGCAGUUUGAACCAGGAAGUAGAAAGAAGCAGCCAGGUAGUAGAGAUAGCUGUGUAAAGUAUGUUUUUUAAAGUUUUGUUUGUGAUGAUCUCACUGUGAAAGUAAGGAAAGGGCAGGAGAGGGAGAGACAAUUCUACAGAACGUGGUUAUAAUUAUCUCUCCCUGGUAAAGAGAAGUAAAAGUAACACUGAUGCCUGGCACCUGUUUUUUAUUGUUUUUUUUUUUUAUAGAUUUAGAAUAAAAGUAAAAAUAAGCGUACCCCAUGACCCAGCAAUUGCACUUCUAAGUAUUACUCAAGAGAAAUGAAAACACAGUUUUACAAAAAGACUUGUACAAGAGUGUUCUUAGAGGCUUUAUUCACGAUAGUUAGAAACUAGAAGCAUCCCUGGUGAUCAUCAGCUGGCAAAUGAUAAAUAAACUGGCACAUUCCUACCAUGGCAUCCUACUCAGCAGUGAGGAGAAACAAACUACUGAAGCACACAACAUUUAAUGGGGUUGGCAAACCAUGGCCUAUGGGCUGGCUACCUGUGUUUGUAAACAAAGUUUUAUUGGAACAACCAACCCCAUUUGUUUAUCUAGUGUUGGGCUGUUUUCUGGCCACAUCAGCAUAAUUGAGUAGUUUUGGGAAAUUGUAUGGCCCCAAAGGCUAAAAUAUUUCAACUUAGAAAUAUUAAGGGGACGCUUGGGUGGCUCAGUCAGUUAAGCAUUAGACUCUUGAUCUCAGUUCAGGUGCUGAUCUCAAGGUUCGUGAGUUUGAGCCCUGCAUCAGGCUCUGCACUGAAGGUGCAGAGCCUACUUGGGAUUCUGUCUCUCCUUCUCUCUUCCCCUCCCCCCGAUUUGUGUGUGUGUGUGUGUGUGUGUGUGUGUGUGUGUGUGCGCGCGCGCUCUCUUUCUCUCUCAAAAUAAGUAAACUUUUAAAAAUAUAUUAAGAAAAAGUUUGCUGUGCCCUGAAUUAAUCUCAAAAACAUGAUGCUCGGUGAAAGAAGUAUAUGUUCUGUGAUUCCAUUUACAUGAAAUUCUGGAAAGGCAAAGGAAAUCUAGGUGUAAAAAAUCAGAACAGCUGUUGUCUCUGGGGACUGGGACACAAAUUGACUGGGAAGGGGCACAAGGAAAUUUUCUGGGGUGAUGAUGGUGUCAUAGAUUUUGAUAAUUAUUUGGGUUACCCAGUUCAAUGUGUUUUUUUUUUUUUAACUCAGGGGUGCACUUUUAGGAUUUUCACAUUUUAUUGUGUAGACAUGGAAAAAAUGUUAGCAAACAUUGAAAUUUAGGUAACAACAUUCAUGCUGAGUUAUUUAGGGGAAUGUAUUCUGAUAUCUACAACUUACUCUGAAAUGCACCAAACAUAGGUGGGAUUAAUGGAUGGAGAGAGGACAAUUAUGUGAAUGUAUGAUAGAGCAAGUAGAGUAAAAUCUCGAUGGAUGUUCACUAUAACAUUCUCCCAGCUUUACUUUAUGCUUGAAAUUUUUCAUAAUUGAAUAAAAACAACACUGACAAUGUUUAAGAUAGAAUUUUGAGGAUGUUUUCAUUUACAUAAAUACAAGGGCUCAAAGAUAAUAUUGUACCAACCUCUAAAUAAGAUAGAGCAACAAAUCCAAUAGUAAACAGACUCUCACUCCUUUUACAGGGUUUUAUGGAGAAAUGACCAACGAAAAACAAUUCUCUGCUUCUAACAGAGUAAACUUGCUUGAUGGGGAUAGCCCCGUUUUGAUGGCUAAGAGCUGGAAGUUGAGCCCUGUGGUCAUGAAGGAAGUUCCUGUAAUCUGUGUAUCCUUUCUGUGCAGUUGAUGCUCAAAUAUAUACCCCAACAUUUGACUUUUUCUUGGAUGUGCAGGCAAAUUUUGACUGAAGAAAGCUCACCCACAUUGCCUCUGCUUUCAGCCAUAGCUUCCUGAAUGGAGGCAGUGAGAGAAAUGUCCUACCUGUGCUCAGGUCCUGUCCUGGGACCACAACCAAGAGAAUGAAUGUCAUUGUCAUCUCUGUUCUCAAUCCCUUAAUGUAAAGUGUUCUCAGUUUGGUUAAAGUCAGGUGGAUGUUCAUGGGUUUGAAUGAGCCAGGCUAGAAACCAUUGUGUACAACAGAAGCAACAAGGUGAUGUACAAAGAGAAGGAAUACUGAGUUCAUGGGGAGUGAGGCUUGUUAAGGUGGGGCAUCGGAGGAAAUAUUUAAGGCUCUUGCCGACAUGUGGAAGCUGUUCUGGUUCUGAGCAAUUCUCAUGCCUUCACUUCCUACAAGGUCCAAUUACUUGUCUUUUGUUCUCCCUUGGCUAAUUUAGCUGAGAACCCUCUUUCCUUAUUACCUAGUGUUCUCCUUAUAAUACACUUCCUAUUUGAGGUAACCCAAAUGAGUGUUGGUUCUUAUCACCAAAAAAGAAAGAAAAGAAAAGGAAAAAAAGAAAAGAAGGCAGGAAGGCAGAAAAGUUCUCAACCAAGUUAAGUUGUACCUAUAUUUGAUCAGCCAUAGUUAAUGUGAUUUCAGUAACUUAAAAAAUAUGUACCAAAUAAAAGCCUAAAAGGUAAUAAUAACCUGAAUCAUUAAGAUCAUUUAUUAUUGGUAAGGUCAUGGUUAUUUUUUGAUCUUCUUAAUGCUUUUUAAGGUUUUCUCCUGAUUAUGGUUCAUAUGUUCCUGCUUCUUUACUUACCUACCUGAUAACUUGUUAUGCCAUGACAAGAAUUCUGUGUUAUAUUAUUGGGUUUGGGAGGAUUUAUAUUCCUUUAAAUAUUUCAUUCUGGGAUACAGUUAGGUUUUGGGGGGAAUAAUUUUAUCUUUUCAAGACUUUCUUUCAAGCUUUGUUAGGUGGGAGGCUAAUAGUCUUUUAGUUUAGAUGUAAUCUGGUCCCACAACUGAGGUAAGACAAUCUUCUGAGGAUUCUAUUUAAUGCUCCAUGUGUUCGGAGUUCUUCCUGCUCAGGAAGUUAUUCUUGGCCCUGCAUAAGCUCUGGGGAUUUUUUCUGCCUGUUUCUCUUGGGCGGUUCUUUCCCUGAAGUUUCUGUACAUGUGUCCCUUGCUCAGUGCUCACUGGAAGACUGGAGGGGACCCCUUUGACGGUAUGUGGAGCCAUCCCUUGGUAUAGCUCUCUUCUCUCCAAUACACAGCCCUGUGGAUUCUAGCUACUUUGAUCUGUGUCUCCUCGGCUCAGGGAGACCCUCUGGGUUCUGUUUGGGGGCCCCAUCCCCGUGUACAGCCUGGAAACUCUCUCCAGGCAGGACAUAAGGGCAAUCAGAGGGUUCACACCCUUUACAUUCUAUCUCUUGGGGAGCACAGUUCUUGACUGCCCACUGCUUAAUGUCUGAAAACCAGUAUUUUGUACCUUUCAUCCAGUUUUGUGUUGUUCAAGAUGGAUGAUAAAUCCAGUCCCUGUUACUCUCUUGUGGCUGGAAGCAGAGAUUCCUAAUACUUUGUGAAUGUUUCAAGUUUUAUAUAAUUUAUAUACUAGCUAUGUAGACACCCCAAAACAAGUCUUUAAAAAGUAAAAUUGUCCUAUACAGUAACAAGCAAGUUAGAACCAUGGAAGGUUUAAGCCAACAAACCCAAUUUUAUCUUCAAAUCAAUUUUUCACUAGUGAAAACACAUGAACCUAAAAUGGCAUAAAGCAGAAAUGAGAUAUCAUUUGCUCUGAAUGACUUCUAUUAAAAACAAAACAAGAACAAACAAACAAACAAAAAAAAACUACCCACCACCACCACCACUGUCACCAAAACAAACUAUAAACAUCUCAGAGAGCAUUCUGAAUUUCCAUAGAGCUGCAUAUUGUGGUGGUUGGAGCAGGGGAGCCUGGGAGCAGGCUGAGGGAAAUAGCUUUGUUUUCUCACUUAUUUAAAGCUAAUUCUGCCUUGGAGGUUCACUGCUGGCCUCGGCUCCGCCCUUCCCCCACCAACCUUGGGGGAUAUUUUGCCCAAGCAGGAAUGACACAGCCCACGGAGUCUGUUCUUGUCAGUUAUCAGGGGAGCUGUAUCUAUUAUAAACUCUCUAAAUGUGCCAAUCUAGUGGCUGUUACCCAAAGCAUGGAGGGUGCAUCCCUCCCUGAAGGGUUUCUCCUGCAGUGCCUGCUGAAGCCUGCCUCAGACCACAAGCUGAGAAGCACCUUCCCACUCUCAGAUCCAGUACACUAGAAAUGGGUGCUUGAUAUGAUGUCUUCCUGAGAUUUAUCUACCCAUUCCCUGGCCGAUGUGGAGGGAGGGGGGAGAGGAAGUAUCCUAUUUUGCUAGGCUAUUCCCCCUGUAAUCUACUUUAAACUCAACCUGGUUUCUGUUGCCUGUGCUUCUGAGUCUGGAAAAUGUGUGAGUGACCCUUUUUUCCUUAAGUUGACAUCCUCAGCUAAUACCAACUCAGGGCCCUCCUCUUCAAAGCCUCCUGUAAUCGAUUUUCUUGUCCUCUCUUGCAGUAUUUGUAUGUUAUAGAAGCUCACAUAGGAAGACAAAACCUAGCCAAGAGCAGUGUGAAGGGAAGGCUCUCUAUUGAUACUGGUCCAGAAAUGCCUUCUGGCUUCCUGGCGGCAGUUCCGGCAUGAGAUUCCUCCUCUGUUUAUACUUCCUAUCAAAAUGUUAGGACUUCAAGCUUUAGACUUCGCAAAAUCUGUAAAGCUCAACGGUGGAAAAUCACAUCCAGAGAUCAAAUUCACAAAAUCAUGUCAAAAGAAAAAAAAAAAUCCGACUUCCUCACUGCCUUACAUUUUUUUUUUUUUUAUUGUCUUAGAUUAGCCUUCUCUAGCCUUUGAGUGAGGUGGUGACACUUUAGUUUCUUAUACCUUGAGGUGUUUUCAGGGCUGCAGGUGGUAGAGGGGAGGGUGAUAGGGAUGAGGUCAGGGAGAUGCCUGCAAAGGGAAUGAAUAGACCCACAGGGUGGGAGUUGGGGUGAUGAAAAAGGAUGGUGUGGUGGCCAACUUAGUGGCUUGAGAGGGUUUCCAGACCUGAGCUGCUAGCUGAGGCCCCCGGUCCUGAGAGAGGGAAAGCAUCCCAUCAGGCAGGGACCGUGGCCAUUUUGAAUGGAGAUUCUGGAAUCACCUAAGGAAGUUUCCUAAGCCUUACUGUUGCCUCUCCCUGACCCCUUCUAGAAUCUUUCUGGCUUCUGCUGCUCUCUAGGUAAGUAGUCCACAGCCCAUGGAGCUCUGCUGGUGUAGUCUGUCCUCACCAUGAUGAUUUUCUUUGGUGCAGUAAUUAACAGAGUGAGUUCCAAAGUUAGAGGGUUCAAAUCUAGCUCUGACGACUGCAACUUAUGUCCUCUCUCUGAUCCCGCAUCUGCUAUCCCAGGGUUUGCUGUGAAAAUUAAGUGGAAGACACACAGGAACGCCUAGUGAGCUAUAGUGUUGUAAUACUGCAAGUGGCCUUUGCUGUUUACCCUGAGAAUUACAUGCAGUUCUGGGGGCUGAAUCUGCCCCUUCCUUAUUCUUCCUGUCCCUCUUUCAUCUUUUUCUGCCAUUUACCAGUUGCUGACCCUGGGCAAGUUACUAAAUAUUCUGUGCCUCAUUUAAGGUUGAUACUGGUACCUCCCUCAAAGGAUUGCAAUGCUGGUUGAAAAAGCAAUUUAAUGAAUGUCCUAAAUGAAAUCCUCAAGUAGUUUACCACAAGGAGAAGGAACAUAAAGAAGGAACUAAAGAAAUGGCUGUUUGUACUGGAGUGUGCACAGUUUUGUUUUUUAAGUGCGCACCAAGGCCACCAUCUUGAUGUGUCCAGUAGUGAUCUCAGCAGGGUAACAGAUGAGAGAGAUUCCUGGGUGGCGGUUGUCAUUAGACCUAGAGUCCCAAAGAAUUGGAGACCUAUUAAGCCACUAGCGGAGGCCAUUGCUGAUUGAGGAGGUGGUGAAGAGGAGGCCAUGAUCAUGAAGCACAAAUCCUUACAUCAGGGGAUAUUACCUAGGAAAUCUCUAGAAGUCCUUUCAGACAUUUUUGACUUAUACAGAGUUAAUUCACGUUUAGUCCUUUUAAAAAACAUGAUUAUGAGAGAUAUUAAGUAAUACCAUUUGCACAGUUAUAGACACCCCAUUUUUUAAAACCCCACUUUUAAAAAUAAAAAAGUAUAUGUUGAGGUGUCUGAGUAGCUCAAUCAGUUAAGCAUCCGACUCUUGACUUUGGCUCAGGUUAUGAUCUCACAGUCGUGAGGUCAAGCCCCAUGCUCUCUCUCUCUUUAAAAAAAAAAGUGGGGCACCUGGGUGGCUCAGUCGGUUAAGCGUCCAACUUCGACUCAGGUCACGAUCUCGCACUCCGUGAGUUUGAGCCCUGCGUCGGGCUCUGGGCUGAUGGCUCGGAGCCUGCUUCCGAUUCUGUGUCUCCCUCUCUCUCUGCCCCUCCCCCGUUCAUGCUCUGUCUCUCUCUGCCUCAAAAAUAAAUAAACGUUAAAAAAAUUUUUUAAAAAGUAUAUGUAAUAGUGUACAUAUACAUACAUACACAGUUAGCAUAUACAUGGAAAAAUCUGAGAAGCUUGUAUUCCAAACUGCUAAUAUUGGCAUUUUCAGUGGAACAGGAAAGGAAUUACAGGAGACUUUUUAUUUUCUGCAAUGUAUAUUUCUAUAUUGCCAAAACUUUUAAAUUAUAAUGACAUAUUUUUUCUCUGUUAUACCAGAACAAUUUAAAUGUAUAUAUUCUAUUUAUUAAUAUGUGAAAGGGGCAUGCAUGCUCCCUUUAAAAUUAUUGUCUGUAUAUGGAAUGGACAUAAGUAUUUUGCCUGGACACUUAAUUCCACCUUAUCCACUCAAUCCAAGGCAUGUUGGAAACUCAUUUUAGGCACAGAUGACAGAAAUCUGUCCGCAUUUUGGAAACCACUGGACACAUUUAGCAUUUUCCUGAGGCAGAAACAUGUGAAUGGGAACCACCAGGAAUGACAUCAGCUGACUAUAGCUGGGGUCCCAUAUGGAUGCCCUUGCUCCUAAUACACACUGCCUGUUCCUAGCCACUCUGCCCUGCCACCAGUCCAUGUUACUUCCUGUUCCCACAGCUUUGAUUCUUGUGACUUCCCAGUUCCUACUUCUGAAUGUGUCCCUUUUAAGGAUCUUUGGCCUCUAGGCUCCCACUUCUUGAUCCUGGUUUGACUUUCUUUUUUGUUUUCUGGUCUAAUCUCUUGAUUGCCUCUCCUGUCUCAGGCUUUCAGACACCAUGACCACAUUUCUAGGUCCAUUUGGGCAGCCCUGCCUAGCAUUGGCAGACACCACUCUAGGGAAAUUUCUAGAUAUCUUAGAGGGGAGCUCUGAAGUUAAUAUAGCUAAGUCCCUCCUGAUGAAAACGACAAGUGCAGUAUUUGCAGACAGGCCAGUCAUUUAUGGCCUUAGGUUUUAGAUUCAUCCAAGCUGUUGUGUGUAUCAACAGUCUGUACCAUUUUUUAUUGCUAAUUAGGAUUCCAGGGUGUAGGUGUAUUACUGUUUAACCAUUCACCUGGUGGAGGAUAUCUGGGCUGUUGUUAUUUUUGGACCAUUACUACAAACAUACCUGUACAAGUUUUUGUGUGAACAUGGAUGUUUAUUACCUUGAUAUAAAUGCCCAAGAAUGCAAUUCCUGAGUCAAGACAUAAUUGCAUGUUUAGAUUUGUAAGAAACUCACAAAAUGUUUUCCAGCAUAGCUGCACCAUUUCACUUUCCCAUCCAUAAUGUGUUAGUGGUCUAGUUUCUCGGCAUCUUCUCCAGCCUUUGGUGUUGUCACUAUUUUUUGGUGGGGUGAUAUCAUGUGGCAUUAACAUGCAAUUCUCUGAUGGCUAAUGAUGUGAACAUCUUUUUGUAUGUUUAUUUACUACCUGUAUAUCCUCUUUGGGGAAAUGUCUGUUCAGGUCUUUUGCCCAUAUUUAACCACUUCUUAAAAGUUAACCCUAUAGAGGGAUGCCUAGGUGGCUCAGUUGGUUGAGCAUUGGACUUCAGCUUAGGUCAUGAUCUCAUGGUUUGUGAGUUUCAGCCCUGCAUCAGGCUCGCUGCCAUCAGCAUGGAGCCGACUCCAGAUCCUCCAGCCCUUUCUCUCUGCCCCUCUCCCACUUGUGGUCUCUCUCAAAACUAAACAUUAAAUAAUAAUAGUAAUAAUAAUUGAGUUAACUCCAUAGAAAGUCCAGCAAUAUGAAUCACAAAGCCAUAGGAAGCACCAUUUUACAUUUGUUGGCAGCUUGUGGGAGGUUAAAGAGGGGACCAAGAAGAUAUAUACUAUCCCCUGCUCUCCAGCUUCUUCCUCCAUAAGAAAAUUAAAGUUAUACUGAACUGAUGGGGUCCAGGUUUCAAGAUACCAAUUAGACCACAUUUCCUAGUGGUCAGGGUUGCUGUAUGUGGUGAAGGUCAUGUGUCAUACACCGAUGUGGCUUUCUCUCUGGUAGUGGAAGGAACGAGCUGAGUCAGGGUUGUCUCUCUGGGGCGGGCUUGCCCAUAUUGCUUUCUCUCUCUUCCUCUCUGCAUGUGCCCAUGUAGCCUUGUAGAUCUUCAGCCAGCUGGGGUAGGAGUUAGACUUAAGGCAGAGAAGAAGCCUCACUUAGAGGCAUGGGCUCCAAUCUAAUUUACCAAACAUGGUGCAUUGGGGUGAACACUACAUUCCCAGGUAAUAAUGAAGCUCAGUUAGGAGAAGAACCUGAUUCCAUGCUAAUAGGAUCUUGCUAGGACCACUUCCUUUUUCAUGGAGCUAAUGAUUCUUCAAAGUCAAACUCAACAUGGGGAAGCCCAAGGGCCUUCCCCAGCUCUCACUGCCUGACACAUUCUAAGUACUUUCUUUGUCUUAUUCUGUUUUCCCCACAUUUUAUCUUCUCCCCCUUUGCUACCAUCUUCCUCCAGAUGUGUAACAUUAGCUAUGCCUAAGCUGUUUGUUUGAUCUCUCCUCCUCUCCCUAUCUCGCUCCCUUCUGGGGCUCCUUCUUUCUCAUGAUUUCAGCCACCCCUCCUUUUAGAUGUCAACCAAGAAGACUUCCUUCCUGGACUUGUGGCUUCUUUCAUGUUCUCUGCAGUUGUUUGCUGCUAUUAGUAUGCCUUCAAUGCUUUUUCUGUCCCAGGAGCUCUUUUUCCUGGUUUUCUGUUCCUAAUACUGGCAAAUCCAUAGUUAACUAGACCCAAAAGAGUUCUAUUCAGUCCCCUGUUGCAGUCAAUGCAUUCUUUUUUGCUUUGGUGGGAAGGACUGUUAAGGUUGAAUGUGUACAUAAGGUGGUACAGUGACAGUGGUGUGGUGGGAAGAACACAGGUUUGGGGGGCUGAUAGUCCCCAAAAUCAGGUGUGGUUCUGCCACUUACAGGGCAGGAGGUCAACUGACAUCUCUGUGGCUUAGUUUCCAUAUCUAUGAAAUGGAAGACAGGAAUACCUAGCCAAAUGGGGCAGUAUGCUUGAAAGUGAGUUAUAAAUGGUAAAUAAGUACUAGUAGCUGAUAUAAUAGUUGUGAUAAUGACUGUGUUUAACCCAGUCAUCACCCAGAAUGCCUUAGCUCAAACCCAAGUCUUUUUCAUGUUAAACUUUUCUUCUCCUUGGCCCAGGGAUCCUAUAUGGUUUUACCCCUUGUCUAUAUAACAAAAUGUGGAUGAAUAUUGAGUUCAAAACAAGAGGGCAGGUGGGAGUUUUCCAUUUGGACAAGAACUGCCUUUGGCAUAGUUACAAGCGUUGUCUGCAGCUUUUUUUUUUUUUUUUUAAAGAAUAAAGGCUAAGGAGGGAGUCUAUUGGGUGGGAAGGGAGGAAUGCUGGGGUAUCAGCUGAACUAGUGCUGAACUCAGCAUAUUUUUACACUCAAAUAAUGCAGAAAAGAGGACUGGGUGGUAGGGAAGGAAAUUGGGGAAGAAAUCUCCGUGGUACAAGAGUGAGCUACACUAGCUGUGUAGGUGCUCCAUUGGACAAGGAAUAUUAACUCUCUUUAUUCAGAGUAAACUAGAGGUUGGUUUCUGUGGCAUCCUUUAUGUCUCUCAAGUUGUGCAGCUAAGUAGGUUUCCUUUUUCUUGCUUUCUUUCUCCAAAUCCAUCAGCUUUUGCUUAGUUUUAUCUCAGUGAGCCCCAGGGAGUUGGCAAAGGCAGAAUGUCAAUUCCAGGGGAGAAGGAAAGCAGCAAGGGACCAUCUCUGAAUCACAUCGUUAUGUAGGAAAAGUAAAGCACAGGGUAAGUGGUGACUCCCCUGUGUGACUUAGUGACUUCACAGACAGAACCAAAUCUAAACACACACAAAUUGCUCCUGAAACUAUAGCCUCUGAAAAUGGUUUCUGGCUUUUAGACCUCAUGACUUCUCAUCCUUUUUUUUCCUAAUGUUUACUUAUUUAUUUUGAGAGACAGAGAGAGCAUGCACAAGUGGGAGGUGGGGGGAGAAGGGCAGAGGCAGAGGGAGAGAGAGAAUCCCAAGCAGUCUGCACACCCAUCCAGGAGCCAGACAUGGGGCUCCAUGUCACAACAGUGAGAUCAUGACCUGAGCCAAAAUCCAGAGGUAUACACUUAAUGGACUGAGCCACCCAGGUGCCCCAUGACUUCUCAUCUUUAUUAGUUGGUUCUAACUGUAUGGUGAGAUGGGGAGGUGACAAAUAUUAAGUUUUCUUUCUAGGUCUCAACCUCCAUAAUAUAUUUGUAGAAAGCAUAAGCAAAUAUUCAAACCCACAAAAACCCAGCUUUGAGCAAUUGAUCUUCCUGCUUUCUAUAUUUAAUUUUUAAUAUUUUAACUUUAUUUUUAGAAUAUAUUGCUUCCUUCAUCAGGAAAACCUGAGGUGGCAUGCAAAAAUACAUGGGUCACAGAAAUUUUAAAAAUAUGAAGAAGUCCAGUCAAAGGGAGAAAAUAUAGGUAAGCAAAAUAAGAUAAUUCAAGGGUGAGGUUAGUGUAUAGAAAUACAUACCGUAAACUUGAGCUAAAAAGUGGCCUAGAGCUUGUAACAGUCAGUCAGAAAGGAGAAUAUUAUAUAGUGCUAAAUGAUAAUAACAGUGGAUAACAUUUACUGAGUGCCAGUGUGUAGCGUCAACAAUAAACAAAGCUGGACAGUAUUUGAAGUUGGUCAGGACAGAUUUUAGUCAGUAAUAUAUGCAUGAGGGCAAUAGGGCAAAGUGUCCACAUGAACUGAACUCAACUUUGACUUGCACUUGCAUUUUAAAGGGAAGAUGAGGGGAUAGGGAGGAGGAUUAGUGGGGUCUCAGUAGAGUCAGGGAAGUGAAAAAUUACAAAAAUCAGGAAGGGGGUUGGCCCAUAUGAAACCCAUCUGGGUUUGCUAACUGCAGUGUAUCCAAGUUAGGCUCCUCCCCUUCCACAAAGGCUGGCAGACAGGGCCAUCUUCAGGUGUUGGCUGGAACACACAGUAAAUUCUUUGGGCAGCCUUGAGUUUUCUCAGGCAGGCACUUUUAGAGGUGGGCUAGGGUCAUCCAGGAGAUGUAAACUUGAGCUGUUAGAAACUGUGUUAACAUUUUGUUCCCAUCUUUAUAGACCAAGGUUGAAGCCCAGCAGAUGAGAGGGCUCAGAGGAGCCUGGCUACAAUUUAGUCAAGGAGAGAAUCUUUGUCAGGAGCAGGCAUUGUUCAAUAUUUUUUACAUGUAUUAUCCCGUUUAUUGUUCACAAAAUCCCUGUGAGAUGGGUUGUUAUUGUCCCCACUCUACAGAUGAGAAAACUGAGGUGCAGAGAGAUAUUAAUAAGUUUAUAUGGACAGUGAAAGCCAAGAAUUAAAUCCAGGCAUUCUGAUAGCACAGCUGAGAUCCAAUAUUUUAAUAAUUAAUUAUUGACAUUACAAGGAUAGGGCUGCCUCUGUGGAUUUGGGGUCUCACCUAAAAGGUGAUAUUAUCCCCUGCAUCAGUCACCAGAGAGAAGAAUUGUGUCUCUCAAAGGAAACAGAAAAGGGGCAGAGAAACUCCAGGAACACUUCCCAGGGCGAUUCAGCUCUCUUGGCCUUAUUCAAAAAGUUGGCAAGCUUUUGAUAAGGGACCUUGUAGGCGGUGGCUUGUAAAAAGACGUCCUCUGCACGGAACCAGGCCAGGAACUUAGAAAUGAGAGAUUCUAGUAUGGUCUCUGGAGGCCAUGCCAAUCUACUAGGACCAGAGCUGAAAUAGCUCAGAUCACCUGUAGAAUUCAGUGGUGAGAGACACAGGGGCUCAGCUAUUUGUGUUUUACUGCCCGAUAGUUAUUUGUUUCCCUUUUAUUCCUACCUGAUAUUCAGUAAGGACAUUUGGAAAGCAAAUCUGGGAAUAUCCCUCACCAAGCAGGAGAAUCAAGUGGAAGAAAACACCACUUGGGAGUCUAGGCUCUGAGCAGAGCUGAUUUUCCAGAGGCAAAUAUAUGUUUUCUUGAAGUCAUCCAACAUCAUUUUAUGAUUCUGUGCUCUUGGUUCACAGUCUAUAAGGGAAUAGCUACUCCCAAAAAACAGAAAAUGAAAUUUUUCCUCCAUGUUUUCUUUCCUUCUCUCUGUUAAUGUUUAUAUGUUAUUGCUAGGCAGAGGGCAAGACACAGCAGAUUUUCCCUAUUCCUAGUGCAGCUUUUAACAUUCCUCCCCAAAUGCCCAAGGCCCUUCCUCUUCAGAAGGGUACAGGUGGGGAGAGUUUCAUAACAAGAUGAGAGUGUAAUUCAAAUAGAGCUGGGGGGUUUCAAUGUACAUAUUGAAAUGUAAAUAUUGUUAACUAUUACUUUGUGUUCUAUAUUUUUCCUAAGUGUUGUGUCAUGUGUCCUUAAAAGGAGCCUCCUAGGGGAUCCUGGGUGUCUCAAUCUGUUAAGUCUCUUGAUUUCAGCUCAGGUCAUGAUCUCACAGUUCAUGAGUUCAAGCUCCACAUCAGGCUCUGCUCUAACAAUGUGGAGCCUGCUUGGGAUUUUUUCUCUCCCCCUCUCUCUACCCCUUCCCUGGUCAAGCUUGCAUUCUCUCUCAAAAUAAAUAAAUAAACUUUAAAAAAAAAAAAAAAAAGGAGGAGCCUCCUUAACUUUUGCCUCUGUUUGUGCAGAAGACCAGACCAGCUCCCAUUGGCCGGAAGCCGCACAGGCUGCAGUCUGGUCUGAAAAUUGAACGCUGAGUUAGAUUAGUGCUCCCUUUCCGGCAUCUGAGGAGGGGUGCAUGUAGGGGACCUGAGAAGCAGCUUUGAAGGAUGAGGCUGUCCCAGGUAGCCUGGUGAUGUUUACUGAAGAUUCCAGGGACCUCCUUCCUUUGCAUACAUUUCUCCUGUGCCCACUGCAAGCCUCACAUUUCUGCCAUCCCUGUGUAUAUGGGUGGGAGACGGGAAGGGGGGUUCUUUUCCUGAAGGUGCUAUGGCAGCAUAUGUGGUUCCUAGGCUUAAUAUAUAUUAAGUGAGGGGCUGGUUUGUGGGUCUCCUCAUUAGGAGAGGACCAUGAGUUUAUUUGAAUGAAUAUGCCCCCAAACCUACCCUGCACCCAACAAAAAACCUCUCCUAAGGAUGGAGAAUAUCUCAAGGCAAGGAAAUAACUGGAAUUCUACUCUCAGAGGUCUUUUGCCAAAGAGUUUUCAGAUGAGGACUUCUUUUCUACUCUGCCCAAGUCUGGCAGAGGGAGGAUGAGGAAUUUCACUCCCAGUCCCAGGGAUGAUCUCUUCCUUCUUGUGACACUGAAAUUGUGGAAAGGGAUCAUAAGUCAAAUCAACGGGCUAAAAUCUGGGAGCAGAGGAAAUCAGGUAAGGUCUGAGAGAGAGUAAGCAAAAGAAGGGGCCAGAAGGAAGAAAACUAAGUUAAAAGAUGAAGGGCAGUGCAGGGCACAGAGGAAGGAUGGCUCAACGUCUGCCUCUCUUGGCUUUAGUGCAUCCAGACAGGUCUCUGUAGCCCUUGACUGGAUGCCUGGGUCCAAGGGCUGAUGGGUGGUGCUUUGGGACCUCCUGGAAUUGGGGUAUCAUGAACAUGGGUGUGUAUGUGUCUGUGUAUGACCAGCAAAUGUGAACUUGACAGCAGUUAGCUAUGGGGAUUGUUUACAAUAGCCUAUCACCCAGCUCCAACUACCAGGGACCAAGGUAACCCAGACUUCUCUUUACAAGUUAAGGAGAAAAGAGGGUCCAGAAUCACAAAUCCCCAAAUGCAAAUAUACAUUGGCACAGGGGAAGAAUCUGAAAUUUUGGACUACUUUUCCCAAAGAGCAAUUUCCCCAUAUAUCUGAAAAGGGUCUUCUAUGUUGCCUGUGAUGAAAUGGUUUGCCAAAGCAGAUCAACUCAAUUUAGAAAGGAUUUUAGUUUAAGAUAAUAAGUGCCUCCCACAUCCUUUCCUUAGAACCCAAGCUGUCUUUAAACAGCUAAAUCCCCUGCAAGCUAAAGAUUACCAUAAGUUUAAUGGGAGUUUUGGAAAAGAGAUUUGGAAAGAAGUGGAUGGGAGGGGAAUUUCUAUGUCUUUCCUGGUAGCUGAGCCUUUGUAGGGCUGAAGAGCUGCUUAUUUUAUGUAAUUGACAACUGAUCAUUUCUAAAGUAUUGGUUUAGGACUUAAAAUAAUCCAUUAAUGAAUCUCCUGUAUGGAACAUACAAAUGUUCCCAGAAGAAUAGGCUGAAGAUGGUGUGGGGGUGAUGAAGGAAUCAAAGGGAGGUCCCUUGGCUCACUAGCCAGAGUUGUCUUCUGAUGUGUUCUUGCUGGCUGAGAUAAGUUUGCACUCAAGGAGCCUGGGCCAGAGAGGGAGGUGCCCAAGAAGGGCAGUUGUAGAAAGUUGUAGGCUUAAAAGUUGGGAGAAGGAAAAGGGAGGGAAUGGGGAUGCAGAAGAUCAAAUGACUGAUUGUUGAGAACACCCAUCUUUCCUCCCAGAGUCCUAGACAUACCCAAGACAGGCCUCUCAGAGUCCUAGACAUAAAAUCUGUCUCUCAGUCUCUUUCUCUCCUCAGAGGAGUCUCAUGUGGAGCCAAACUUUUACUAGGAAGAAAGGGCUGAUAGAUUCCUUUCAAGUAGCAUUUCUCUCUCUCCUCCCAGAUGACAUCUUUUAAAUAAAAAUGGAACAUGUUCAAACAUAUAGAGAAGACUAGAGAUUAAUGUCAUGAGGCUCAUGAAAUUACCACCCCCUUUGCCAAAUAUGCUUGGAAAAAGUUUUUAAUAAAGCCCUUUGGAUGUUUGGAUGCAAUUGCAUUUGACACCUCCUCCCUCUUUCUCUGGUUGCCUACUUCUGGAAACCUGCUUCCACUUGUCACCACCCCUGCCCACCUUCUCACCUAUCUUCCAGUAAAGAGCCAGGAAUGAGUACAGUUGUGUUCAAUUUUGUGUUUAUACUACUAUAGCCAUAAGGAAUUAUACUAAGGAAGCAAUAGAAACCAUUUGGUUGGUUGUCAGUGGGCUUUUUGAAGGCAACUUUCCCCAGGGAUUCAUUUGCAGCAUUUCUAGCAUAAGGUUCUAGGGGGUGGGGGUGGGGGUUGUAUCCAGAAAAUAUAACACAGAAGUCUUCUGUUUCUUCCUACCCUUCACCCUCCAGCACUUUUAACACUGAAUUUUCUCCCUAGCUUCUUCUCAUUUUAUCUGCUUUGGGUUUUCCCAUAUCUGGCCCCUAUGCCAACCUUUGAUUGCCAGCCUGCAUUCAGGCUCCAUGGGUAAGUAGAGGCGUCUCUGUGGUGCUCCCUAUGUGCAGAGGUGUGUCAGUAUAUCAGCAGGCAGUUGAUGCCUGGAGAGCCUGCCCACUUACCUCCUUGUUUCCCUUGUAAAAUCUCUGCCACUCCCAGGGGUCUCCAGCUGCUGCCAAGAAGCCUUUGGUUGACUCAGAGGCAACGCUCUGCUCACACUGAUGCCAAUAAAUCCCUAGAAUUUUUCACUCCGUGAUUAUUUGUCCCUCCCUGACCAUGAAUAAAUGAAAAGCCACACACACACACAUGUUAUUAAAAUGAACUGUUUAUAUUAUCUCAGUUGAGUCAAUACAUUAUAAUGUAUUAAAAUGGAAAGGUACAAAAUUGAAAUAAAUACUUUCUGAUUCAUGUAUAAAUCUUUUUUUUUUUUUUUUGUCAAGAUGACUUUUAUCGUCAGUACAUGUCACAAGAAAACAUUUAAAAUGACACUGAAACAAUCAUUUAAAUCAUGGUGCAUGGAGGAAAAAGGUAAAGAAAACAACUUUUGGCUUGUUUUGGCAUGAGACCUUGAUACAAUUUGGGUUCCCCAAAACCAUGUGAAGGGUGGUAAAAUAGAAAUGCUCAAAACUGACUUAAAAAAAUAAACAGGCUUUACAAAAAACCCUCUUUUUGAUAAACCCAGCCACUUCUCUACAUGGUCUGCACUUACAGUAGAUACAUUCAUUAUUGUCCAUGGGAAGACAGCAACUGCCUUUCGUUUUAAAGAGCUUGGUGGAGAGGCUGAAGAAAUACGCUGCAGCUGAAGGUGAGUAGAAUGUUCAGGAGAACAAAAAGUCUAGAUGGUCUUCAGGAACGGCACUGAGAAUGAUGGGGUGUGGAGGGUCUCUGGAACAAGAGAUGGAGGAGAGGGAGCGUGAGGAGUCCAGAUCUGAAGCAAAGCAAGUCUGAAGGACAGAAAUGGUUGUCAGCAGUGAAAAUGUGAUGUGGGGAUCUCUCCCCGUCUGAGCAGUCCUGGGUUUGUCCUUGGCAUGGGUUUGUCUCUGCCUCAGCAGAGGCUAACCCAGUGCUUUGGAGAUAGGGUUGGGACUCAUUUCAGGCACAGCAGCACUGGGGAUACAGGGACAGGUGUAGGGGUUAACAAUGAAUGCCAACAAAGGGGCUUUCUCUUCUGGUUCUGACUGCUUAUUAGGUGGUUGUUAAGGCAAUAAGGACUUUAGCAAACUAGAAGUUAAGGGCAGCUAAAUUCAGCCAGAUUGAAGGUAAACAAAAGGUGAGAAGGAGUCCCUUUCUCCUCAGCUACCUUUCCCCCCAAGCACAGGAGGCCUCGGCUCCUGAAGCGCUGAAUUUACAGUACGCAGUAGCAGAGGGCGUGCCCUUUGGAAGGCUCCAAGGAAAAGAAGGCUUAUCCCUGACUUGGGGCAUUUUAUUCUUCAGACUCUCUUUGUUGAAGUUCUUUCAGGAGGGCAGGCUAUGCUCACCCAGCUAUUGAGUGAAAAGUGGAAGCACCAAAGUUUGUGCAGUUAGAAUAAGUCCUUUGCUAUAGACCAUCUGGUCCAUUUCAAUGGCCUUGAACACCAUCUAUCCUAGAAAGGCAGGCCUGAUGCUCACAUGCUUCAGUGAGACCUAUGCUCACCUGGAGAACAGGACUAGCCUUUCAAGCUUCAGGAAUAUUUCCCUUGCAUCAGAUUGAAUGACAGCUACAAAGUCCAUGGAAGUGUGAGAUCCUUGGAAGGUUUGUGAGCCCAUAGGUGGAUUCUUAGGGGAGUAAUAGAAACUCCUUUGACUUGAAUCUGCUCACAGAGAAAUGUACAGAAGACGGAACAGAACAGAUGGAAGAAUCUUUUCUUUUCUUCUUGUUCUGGAGUAAAGGAGAUGGACCUUGAAAUGCUAUGGGAAGGAUAAACCUUGAGAGUUGCCUGCCAUUCUGAGCAGCUUCUGGCAAGAUGCUGGGUGAUCCGACCACUGAGACCCUGGAAUGGAAGAACUGGCUCUCAGGCAAUUGCUAAAAGGUAUAACUACUUACUCCAGCAAAUGAACCACAUGUGCUCUCUGUGAACAAGACAGAGAUCCCUCAUCCUGUAAAAUUAGAUUGCAGUCUGAUACAAGAGCUCUGCAUGAAAUGCCUGGGGUCUAAGGAUGCAAUGUCCUGGACACAAUGGUUGUGCUCUAAUUACUCAGGACCACCUCUAAUGGGGGCAUUUGUGGGGACAAGAUGUUCAGAAAGAGAAAUGCCAGUUGCAGUGUCCAGCCAUCUGGGGACCAGUGCUCUGCCUGACCUCUCUCUCUGGUAGAGCUGUCUUGUUUUGGUCCUGGAAUCCAAGGAUUAUGACAAAUCUGUAAUAAAGCAAAUGUGAUCAUUAAGCUGUGGGUGUACAGAUGAAACAAGAUUGGCCAUGAGUUGAUCAUUACUGAUGUCGAUUGGUAGGUCUGCAGGACUUGGCUGUGCAAUUUGACUUUAUUAUGUGUUCAAAUAUAUGGGUUGAAAUUAUCCACAAUACAAAACAAGGCCCCUUGGAGAUUAUCUAGCUUACUCCUUCAUUUUACAGACAGAACCCAGUGGUUUAGUGCCCAAAGUCACAUGAGGAGUUCAUGCAGAGCCAGUACUAGAACCCAGCACUCUUUCUGCAGGGAUUAGGAUAUUUUGGUUAGCAUUGCACUCUUAAAUAAAUGUCAUAUUCUUGAUCUCUGCUCUCACCUUGAAAAGCAGGUGGUUGUUUUCAAAAUUCCUGUCAAUUAGCUUAAGAAUUACCCUUCUCUCAUAAAGCCCCAGGGGGACACUUUCUUUGAAGUCUCUCUUCAGCUCCAUCACUUCAAAGGGAGACGCCCCCAGUGACAAACCAGUCACUGUAGCCACUUCUUCUUAGGGGAACCACCACCAAGAAGGAAACUGAAUGUUGUUUCUGGGCCCCUGGCAGCAUUCAGUUUUUUCUAGAACCUGAUUGAAGGCCUGGUGGAAGGAGGGGAGCAUCACAUUUAUGACAAGGGUAGGGUGUAAAGGGCAAGAAUAGCAGCCAUUUAAGGGAAUAAAUUUCUAUAAAAAUCUUCAACUAAAGGUAUUGAAUCUCUUUAGAGAAAUAUCACUAUAAUCUAAUUGGAAUCAAAGACAUUUCUCAAUUGAAUAAGAACAAGACUUUUAAGAACUAGCUGCUUCGGGAAAGGGAGGACCCACUGGGCCCUUCUCAGUGAUGACACUUAUAGGGAAUGAGGGUUCAGUAUAAAACUAUAAAUUUUAUUUUGAUAAUUAAAAUAUAAAAAUUCUAGAUAUAUUUUUAUAAGCUUAUGAGGACAAACCUCAAAGAGUCCUCCCAAAGGAAAACAGACCAGAGAAGCCAGGUGCUUCUAAGAUUCUGUAGGGGAAAGGUGAGGUCAGAAAGCCUCUGAAAGAAUGACACACAAGGAAGUCCCUGGGCCCACCAUUUUGCACGAGGAAAACACCCUUUGGGUCCUGGUAGCUUGGUUGAGAUUCAAGUUGUUAGCAGAGAUGGGCACCUGACUAGCUUAGUUGGUGGAGCAUGCAACACUUGAUCAUGGGGGCCUGAGUUCAAGCCUCAUGUUGGGUGUAGAGUCUACUUAAAAAAAUAAAAAUAAAAUAAAAAGUUAGCAGAUAGAGGUGUACAUAUUUAAAAAAAAAACAAAUUAUGAAGACUUGCUUGGAUUAAAAAGUUGUGGGCUUCCUGAAACAGAUAGCCAAAAGCAACUGGAAAGUUUUUUCUGGAGACAUCAGAUGCCCUGGGAAUGGAAGAGAUCCAAAAAGAAUGGCUAAAUGAAGAGAUGGGGUGGCAGGGUGGAUGGACAGACCACUCUAAUUAUUUAGAAAAAUCUGUUCUAGCAAGAGACUUAGGGCAGUUUAUAGAUUAUAGAGUUAGAUUCUGCUGUUUCUUAUUCUCAUUGUUCUUCCUUGCCCCUCAAAAAUAUAGGUAUCAGCUCAUUUCUUUUUCAAAAUCCUAACUAUCUUAACUUGGCUUACAGAAAGGUAGACUUGGAGAGGGAGUGUGUACAUGUGUAUGUUCACAUUGCCUGCAGUCAUGAAAAAAUAAACUCUUCUGUCUUCCAGAGACUUAUAUAAAGCAUGACAGCAUGGGGCUUUUCUGAACUUUACAAAUUAAAAGAGGGACUCUGAGCUACUGGUUAUAAGUCAGGAGAGGAUGAAAGAGCAUUUUGAUGUGGAAUCUGAUUCUGAGUCUGCAAAUUUCUAGCUGCAUUUCUUUGGGAAAAUUAUUUCAUCUCUGGUCUUCAGACUCCUCAUCUGUACAGGGAGGAGAUUUGACCUCUCUGACAUUUAUAAUCUGUGGAUCUAGAGAACUGAUUAUUGGCCUAGAAUAGAUAUGAGGUAGGGGCUGAAUUCUAGGAUCAAGAAGGUCUCUAUUAGCAUUGUAUCAAAGAGAACAAAUCUUGUUCCUAGGUUUGGUGAGUAAAUUUUCUAACAGGUUCCUUGGGACUCCUGGCUAAUGUCACUGUGUGUGUGGGGGGGGGGGGGGGGGGGGGGGGGGGGGGGGNNNNNNNNNNNNNNNNNNNNGGGGGGUAGGGUGGGGGGGUAGGUAAUUGAGAAAGAGAAGCUCAUCCCCCUGCACAAGGUCAGCAUGUUCAUGCUGCUCCAUCUAGUAAAUUCUGGCCUUGGAAGAGCCAGGGAGGAAAAGAGCAGUACCAUCCACAUCUCCAUGGAAUCCUGCCCCUUUGCAAUCAACCUUGACUCUGAAGAAAAGUAGCAAGUGCUAUUCAAGCCUAAUGAAAAUUUCAAUAUAUUUUGAAGUUGUCCACUACCAUGGUCAGUAAUGAGAUCAAUACUCAUGGUCACAGACAUUGCAGAAGGUUAAGUGCCUAUGACAAAAUGCUUAUGAAGUGUUUGAGGCUCUGAGGCCUUCCCUCUGAAGAGUGAGAAAGGCAGUACUUGUCUCUACCUGGUUGGCUAUCAGGAUUGACAUUUCACUGCAGAGCCAAGAAACCCGAAGACCUCAAAGUACUGGCUAAGUCUCCAGACUUGAGGAGGAAGGGAAGGCCCACUUGGAGACAGGUUGCAUUUGUCUGCCAAAAGACCAGUGUCUGCAAAACCACAAAUACUGGAAAUACAGGUGCUUCUAAUACAACUAUGUAUGCUGGUUCCGAGUAAUGGGCGUGGGUUGUCUAUCAAAGUAUUUGGUAGGAAAACAGAGGAUGGCAAACUCCUUGUGUGCCCUGGAUAAAACAAGCACACAGAUUCUGAUUGGAUUAGAGAAAAGGUAAGACUCUAGGAAACAGAAGCUCAAUUUCAUUUGCCACAGAUACUUCCUACGAAUCCCAUCUCCUUCCAAGAUGUGCAGGAAGGAGCCACCUAGCCGAAGAGAAGACUUUGGAUGCCAAGGUAACCUCAACCCAGAAUAGCUCAUGACUUUAAAGAUCUGUCUUUCCCCCUAAGCAGGCCCAGAUGUCCUGAGGAGGAGAGGGGAUGUUGCAAGCAGGGUCUCCAAAUACACAGCAAUUAAAUCUCUUGGACUGUUAAAGACCUACUCUUGCUCUAAAUGGAUUGAAGACUCAAGAAAGUGUAGCUGCCUCUCCUCCCUGAAAACUCUGCACUUCCUCAUCUUACAUAUGGUGAAACUGAGGCACAAGGAAGGACAGAGGGUUCUUGCAUCUCUCAUAUUGAUCUAGUGACAUACCUGGGAGGAAAUCCCAGGACCUCCAUCUCUGAAUCCUUCAACAUCUUCCACUGUCUUUCUACUUAAUUCACAGUUAAAGUCUGUCUGCCUAUCUAUAAUAUAUUAUAUGUACUAUUAUGUAUAAAAUAUAAAUAAUUCUCAGAUUCCUACUUAACUUCCUAUCCUCCUCUCCUCCUUUAUAUAACUAGGUUUGGGGGAGGGAGGGGUAACAAAGAUCCAUGAUGAGGGAAAACCACAGUACUGCUCAAAGAAAUAGACUUCUGGAAGGAGAGAUGACAGGCUUUGUCUAGGGGCCAAGGGGUGCUUCAGAUCUGGACUGUACAGCAAAUUAAAUGGAACACAACUCAACGGAAAUCAGCAAUGUAGACAUCUGUGCCAGACGAAGUGAACUUCCACAACCUGGUUUUAAGGAACAGUAAAUACAAUAGAGAUAGAUAGAUAUAAUAUGUUGAAUCUUGAGUAAUAAAACAAGUUAUAAAUAGAAUUAUGCUAAAUUAAAGACGGACAUCAUAGGGAAUAGUCUGGUCAACAACCAAUCACCAUUAGAAUUAAAAAGUAAACCGGCCUUUUCACUGAGUACCUCCACAACGUUUCUCAAUGCACUAAGUACAUUUUAACCAUGCAAAAAUACACAAACAUCUUAACUAGGUUGUUUUUUUUUUUUUGUAAAAAAAAUCAAACACCAACAUUAUGCAUUUUUGUUAAUUAUAUUGGUUAAAGUUACAGCCAGUGGCUGCCAAAUAUCAGAUACAUCAUAUACAUAUUUUUAUACAGAAUCUGGACAACACAACAUUACACAUCAGAGAGAGAAAGAGAGAAAAAGAGAAAGAGAUUAUUUGUUCCUUUGUGGGUUUGUUGUUGUUGUUCAGUAAAGAAAUAAAGUAAAAUAUGAGAAGCAAUGCUAAGAAGGAAAACACUUCAACAAGUCAGGAAUACAGAGGGAGAAUUGCUAAUCAGAAAUACAGGAGGAAAAGAGUUCAUAGUUAGGUCUGUGUCUAGAAUUUUCUUCACUAAGAAACAAAAGAGCACAACAGGUGUAUUGGUUUGGAAAAGCAGAAAGAGCGAUAACAUCAUGCUGUCUGGUUCCCAGCACGUUUCCAGCAAGAAGAAAAAAUCAUAAUCACAAAUUAAUUUCACAAGUUUUGUUUUCAAAAAUGUCCUCCCUUACCCAGGAAGCUGGGUAGUGCAGGGGUGGGGGCAGCUCAAUUUUGAGAGUCCUUGGCAAGGGUUUGGCCAAAACCGUUGGCCUGAAAUAAGUUGGAGAUAUGAGCUGUCUGUGGAAAUUCACGCAAUGAGAUGCGACGUCAACUUGCUCCAGUCUAGGCAAGGUUCCCGUUGCCAGCCAGUGAUCUGGCGGAGGAAGGACACACCCCCAUGACAGGUUCUCCUAGCAAGGCCCCAGUCCUGCCCCUUAAACAUUUGGUGUCAACACGAUCCUAAGAAUUCAACCUGGAAAGAAACAAGACCUUGAACACAAGCUAUGGAAGCACUACCGUGGUCACGGUUAGAUACAAAAAUGUGAAAAUUCAGAUGUAAUCAAAAAUACAAAAUCAGUUUCAAUAAGAUUUGCUUUUUUUUAACCAUUACAGUGCAAGGUUUUUCAAAUUACAGUAAAAGUUAUGUGUCUGCUUACAGUAACUAGAGUAAGUAGCUGAUUUUUGUUCUGCUAGAAUCAGAGGUCCCUGAUAAGUGGGAAUGCACCAAUCUGAAAUCAACCCGGCACAAGAAAUGGAUAUCUUAACAAAAACACAGUUCACUACGGUCUUUACCCCUUCAAAUAGUAACAAAGGAAUGGUGUCAUUUGCACAACUCAUUAGCAUGAGGUUCUUCCUCCAUUAAAAAUAAAAAUAAAAAUAAUAAACAGAUGAUAUUAAAAUUCCAACAGAAAAAGGACUGGAAAUCUGGGGCUGAAGGAUGGAGCAUCUGAAGGGAGUUUCCCACGUCACUGAGCUUUCCCACUGUAGUUAAAAAUAAAAAGAAUUGUUUUAGCAUGAGCCUCAGUGGGCAAUGCUGCUUUGUGCUUCUGCCUCCUUGUCCCAGGCAGUUGGGAAAGGGAGUUUCACCACCUCAUGGGAUCAAAGGAAACCACAAUACAGUCACGCCUCAUUGUGCCAUCAAGAAUCACCCCCCAGGAAAGAAAAAUAACCAGUUACAGGGGCUGGGGGGCUCAGAGGCUUGGAAGGGGACAGAGGAACCUUCAUCUGGCAAGAGAGUAUCCCUCAUCAAGACCAUUGUGACACUCAGAGCCUUGUGUUCUGGAAAGGAAGAAGAGGAAAGAGUCAAGAGCCCCCAAAUUACAUGGAAAAAAAAGAGCCACCAUUUUCCCAGAGCCUUGUCUUUGGGAGUGGGCAUAUGACUGAAAGAGAAAAUGUGGCUAAAUGAAGUGAUCAGGUGGCAGUCUUCAUGUUCAUGUCAUGGAACAUGAGAAGAAGCAAGGGUGACUGAGGAAUUGUCCUCUUUUGAGGUUUGUAGAGCCAACCAGUCCAGGAUGGGUUAGGAGAGGCAAGACACACUGGAAAACUUCAAGGAGCACUUCUCUCCAUGUCCAAGAGAAAGAGGCAGAUGUUUGGCAACCUUGGGCACAACCAUAGGUCCAGAAGCCUAUUCUUCAUACAGCCCCUCUUUAGCCUCAUCCUGGUGCAGAUACCCAUGAGAACUACUCUUUGAUCUAUUUGACUGGCCCCUUACUUGGUCCCUCUGAGGUCCUACAAAUGGUAUAUGGCAAACUCUUUCUGGGUUUGUUGAAAUUAAAAGGGGACUAUUUUAGGCAGCCAGUGGCUUAUUAUUUAGGGCCUGGAAUCUGCCAGUCCUAUGUAAGAUGUGCAAACACCCUCUCAUCUGUGGGAUGUGAUCAUGUGCUUGGAUCCACCUGCCUCACACUAGUGACCUGAACAGAAGAGCAAACGCUUUACUCACACCCACAGCCUGAGAAAGGGAAGAAACACAAAUUCCUCUACCAUGUUUGAAAGUUUCCCUGCCUUUGAGAUACAAUGUGAGGUGCUGUGUGCCUAGAAAGCACUCAAUAAUUUGUUUCACAAUCUGGCCAUUGGAGGACAUUCAGGCUUCCUCUACAAAUUUCGCUACAUUUCUCAAGGAGGAAAGAAAAUUCUGGCAGACAUUACUUCCACACAGUUCUGGUUCAUGCUUUCAUGGGUGGAGGUGUACAGCCAUGGAAUGUGGCUUCCUACAGCACGUGUCCCAUGGUUUGUUCUGCCCCAGGGUGUUGUGGAAUCAGGCAGAAUAUGGAUGUGUGUGUCUGUUGUUUUUGCAUGAGGUACUUACAUUUUCUCAUCCCUUUAGCCAUAUGAGAUCCUGCACCUUACCAGGCUUCCCAAUCCCAUUACCUACCUAGCUUUCCCAGAGUUCAGUACCCAUUCUGCACCUAUCAGAGCAAAGUAGUUUCCCUGGAAACAUUCUUGUGCUCCCCACCCAGCUCUGACUCAGAAUACAGCCCAAGGCCUGGUUCUCUGGGGUAUAGAGGUGGUAGGCCCCAAACAAACCCUCAAACAAACCCUAUGCUCUUUGCCCUGGGUGCCACUAAGUGGUUGUUUCCCUCCAAGUCAACCGAGGUCUACGGGCUUCGCUGACUAUGAGUCUCCCCUCAAAUGGAGGAUUUUUUUAAAUGUGCAAGCUGGUUUGCCUGAAUGGCCCUACAAACACCUAUGUUCUUCUUGAAAUAAAUCCCCAAACCUCUGCCUAGAUAGAUCUGCUUUCUCUAGAUGGUGUGUUUCUGAUCUGGCAGUUGGUGGUUGAAAUAGCAUUUGAGGAUAUGUGAUCACAGAUGUAUUCACAUGAGUGAAGCAACAGAAUGAAGUUAGGGAAUGACGUGGUACAUAGUGUGCCUUAAAGGCUUAAGCAACAUGCCAAGAUUCCUCUAUGCUAAGUUCCUGUUGCUGUCCCCAGACAAAUGUGAAGCCCAGUGAAAAUGCCCCGUAACUGGGCUGUGAUGCCCCCACUUUUGGUAUCUGGGACUAUUUAGUACUAUUUACUAUUAAUUAUGGAGCUGCCUCUGGCUGAAAGAAAUCUCCAGGAAUGGUGUUUUGGAGAGCAGGCACAUUUAGUCCAGGGACAUUGGUGGGAAGUGCAAUGUUGUUCUCCUACUUCCCAGGAGGAUGGGGAUUGGACAUCACUGACUAGGGCAUCAGAUUCCCAGGUCAUAUCCUCACUUCUUUAUGAUCUUGGACAGCUUAACCUCUCAGAACCUUAGUUUCCUCUUUUGCGUGUUGGAUGUGAUGCUACUUUACUCAGGGUUGUUGAGAAGAUCACAUGAGACACUGUGUGAAAGCACUCUGCAGACAUAUGCAGAUGUGGGUGUAUAGCCUCAUCCACCUCUAUGAGAGAAUCAUACCUUCCACAUGAAACGAAUGAGAUAGUUUUCUGUGUCUAAAGCAUGUUCUUAGUAAGGUGGUAGUCUGCUGUAAGUGGAGCUCCAAAAGGCAGUUGGGCUUGGGGGAGUUCUUUGCUUGCUUUGGUUUUGAUUGGUCAAUAGUCUCUGUGCAUCCAAUAUGGCUGAUUCUCAUCUCAUGACGAGUGGAUGCUCUUGUCUUUACCCCACUCCACUUAAAUCACUUGACACAAAUAAUAAAGAAGGGCUAGAAGAAAGAAAGUUCUUUUUACCUUUAAGAUAUAUAUUUUGAGAAUACUUAUUAAGAUGGUGAGAAGUUGGCUUCAUCUUUUCUUUCAAAGAGAAAAGUAUAGUUGAUUUAGGAGAUGCUUACCUUUGAUUUAAGGAUGAUCUCCUUGGAUUCUUAUAUUCAUAACAAUUAGGUUGGGUUAAAAAUGGAGGAGCUAAAUUUUUUCUCUGGGUUUCUUAGAAGUUCAUAGUCUGGAGACAGAUAUUUGUCUCGUGUUGAAUGAGUGUGUGCAUUUAUAAUAGGAUUUUAGGGUCAGAAGGGAGCUUAGGAAGUGUCAUCUUCAUGUUGCAGAAGAGGGAGCUGGUGCAAUGGAAUAAUGGUGAAUCUGGUGCUCCUGCUGCUGCAGUGGAUUGCAAGAAGGUGUGACCAGCUUGGAGGGGAGGCGGGGCUGGAGGACAGCUCUCUGUGGCCCUGUGAUGGAUGUAACAGCACAGCUUCCUAAACAAUCCAUCUUUCUCUUACAGGACUCCUUCCAACCUAGUCUCACCCAGGCACCCCUAGAGAAAAACACUGGGUGAAUGACUGGUAAACUUCUUGUGGUCCGGUUUGGUGAACUGAACUAGGAGACUAAGGAAUUACUAUUUCUUAAAGGUUAAAAAAAUAACCCUAUUUCUCAUCACUGUUAAACAAUGAAGACUUUUUAAAAAAAAUCACUACCAAUGAAUAUAACUUGUAGCUUUAAAAUGGACCUACUUUAAGAUUAUAUAUGUAAUUUAAGGUAAGGUAAUAUAUAUAUUAUAUAUGUAUUAUGUACUGUAUAUUUAAUAUUUUGGAAAUGGGCACAUGGUGAAUGAUGAAUGUGAUAGAUGUGAUAUGUCUUGACUUCAGAAACUCUUUUGACAAUGCACCUCAAGACAUAUCAGAAUUCACCAUGAGAAUAGAGCAGUGCCAAAGAAUCGUUCUUAACAGAAAUUAAGGAUAAUUCACUGUUGGCCUAAUUGGGCAUUAUGGGAGUGUUUUGGGGGGAUGACCCAGGGCUUCUUGUUUCACAAGGAAAACUUUACAGGUUAGUUGACUGAUACAAGAUCUGUGUCAUGCUAUUUGGCCCCAUUUCUCUCUUGGCUGUCCUUAAGAAAAUGUCCUUCUCUCGAGUUCUUUGUAAUCCAUGUACAUGUUUAUAGAAUAUUUCUUAACAUAAACUCUGUAAGUCCAUGAACUUAGGAUGGAGGCAUAUGCUCUGUGGAUAUAAAGAAAUGAUGGCUAAGAGCAAUAGUUAGAAUGGUGUAGGGGUGUUGAGUUUCAGGUCUUUCAUAAGUCCUGACCAUAGGGUCUACUAUGGAUGGAAUGGUUGUGUUCCCCUAAAUCCAUAUAUUAAAGCCCUAAUUCUCAAUGCAGUGGAAUUUGGAGGUGUGGCCCUAGAGAGAACACUGGGUUUAGAUGAGGUCAUGAGGGUAAAGCCCCCAUGAUGGGAUUAGUGCCCUUGUAAGACAGAAGCCACCAGAGCUCUCUCUGCCAUGUGAGGAUAAACCAUAAAGCAGCCAUCUGAAAACCAUAAAGAGACCCCUCACCAGACACCAGAUCUGCUAGCACCUUGAUCUGGGCCUUUAUAGCCCCUAGAACCAUGAGGAGUAAAUGUUUGUUGUGUAAGCCAACCAGUCCAUGUUGUUUUGUUACAGCAGUGGCACUACGGCAGAGUGCAUUCCUAACUUCCCUGAUAUACAUCACUUUUAAGUCUCCAUCCAGAUCAAGGCUAACAUAAUUAUGGGUGAAGCACCCUCUUUCUUUCUAGAGCAAUCUAUCUCAAGGAAAGGGGAAUCAUCUCAAUACUCUCCUCUCUUUGUCUCUUCUUUCUUGUCAAGCCACUUUUCCUAAGACAGGAUUGAUUUUGAAAAGGGAUCUUGGUGAUCUUACAUGAGGAAUCUAAAAAAAAAAAAAAAAAUUGCUAUUAAGGGAUCUAAUAUAUUGAUACACACUUAUUUUUAGGGAGAAGAGAGGAAGAAGAGGGAAUACUUUGUAUUCAGGUCCCAAACCCAGGUUGUGCUGUCCAUGAGGAAUGCUUAGCAGUCCUUCAGAAAGAUAAAUGAAAGCAGAGACCUCUCAGUGCCCCAUGUCUUCACCUCUUCCUUUCUGCUCAAAGAGCUGUAGACCUGCUCAUCAUUUUCAGUCUUACCUUUCAGCCCUGGAUAUAUAGGCUUUAGCUCCUCAACCAGACUGUGAAUUUCUUAAAGACAGGAACUAGUCAAGUCUCUGGGAUCUUUGCUGGGUGAAUGUUGAGUGAGUAAGAAGACUAAAUUAAUGAGCACAAUAAAGAGACUGGGCAUGAGCUCAUGAGUCUAGCUGGGCCCUUGGUUCUCAAGGGAGGAAAUCUCCUUUAACCCCAGGAGAGAUUGCUUUGGUUUUGGGAGCUGGCAUGAGGGAAAGCAAGAUCUUCACAAGCUUUCUGAAGCAAAGUUAGAGCCAGGACUCUCCCAGUUCUUCAGGUCAUUCAGUUUGUAGUAAUCUAACUCUUACUAGAUGCAAAGUAUUGCUGUUUGCUUUCUUUUCAGCACCUUGGGCUUCAAAAAAUAAUGGUGCCACUCAAUGCCCUGAUUCCUUCUCUACAACAUGGAUGGACCCUGCCCAAAGAGCCUCCUGGGAACAAUCAGAUGGACACCAAUUCACUUAAAAAGUAAGUUCUCAUAGUAUAUAUUUGAGGCAUUUUUUUUCAGGGAAAACUGUUGGAAAUCAGGGAAAGGGUUUCUUUUCCAAAUGUCAGAUGUAAGCUGAUUCCUCAAAGCCCCUGUUCUUAGGCUAUCUCAAUAUGAGUGGCUUAUGCACUGAUCAAGCUAUUUGGAGUUGCUGUAGGUUUAGAUAAAUGUGCUAUUGUAGGGGUGAACCCUCAAAGUUUGAUAAGGCAGCAGAAAGAAAAGGAAGGUAAGAUGCCCUCACCAAUUUAAGAUGGGGGUACACUGUCAGAUGGGAUGGAAAAGGCAGGGACUUUUAUUCAAGACAUCGGAGCUUGCAUCAUGGUUUUGUCAGUAAUCAGAGGAAGUUGGGCAAAACAUUUAACCCCCUAAGUCCCAUUUAUCCUUUGUGAAAUAAAGCUCUAUAUUAAAUCCCCCUGGAUAAUAAAGUUACUAUGAAAAAUAAAUUAGAUAAACUAAAUAAAAACAUAUAGAAAAACACUGAGCAAAUUUCCUGGCAUCAGCUAAAUCUGAGAUGAAUGAAGAUUUGGACGACACAGAUGACAGGAGUGUGAGGUAUAUGAGAGCCAGUGAGUGUCUGGAUGUCACCCUCAACCUGGGCCACACAGGCAGUCAGGCUCAGCAGAGCCACAACUAGUGGGCGGGAGAGGGAAUACUCAAAAUUUAAUAACUUGAAGCUUAGAGUUAAAAGUGAAUUGUGUAAAAUAGAAGCCACCUUUUCUGAAUGGAUGCUGGGCUGAUACACUUAGUCUAUCAGCCCAGGGAGGCAGGGGCUCACCAUCCCACCUGUUCUAAAGAGAUUCUGGGUCAUGGAUUGGCAACGACAGAGUUACUUUAUGGAGGUUAAAUGACUAUAAUGAACCAGAUCAAGGGAAUUAGGGAUUUCCAAUUGAAAACCCUGUGUAUUUUAUUAAUUGGUUCUAGUAUUCAGAAUAGCCACCCCCUGCAUUUCCACGGAGACAUGCUAAGAGUCCAAAGUCUUUAUAAAAGGCCAGCCCACUCUUUGAAUGGGAAAUAUGAAUUCCAGGAAUAGAUCCAUCUGUGAGUAAGUUCUCAUGCUUGCUCUGCUUCUUUGUACCUUGCAUCUCUCAUCCAAUGUCUAAAUGUUUAUUUAUUUUUUUAAAAUCUCAGAACAUGAAGUUUAGAUGAACAAACUGUGGGGCAAUCUCUGUGUAGGGCUGAGGGAAUUAGGUGCCAUUGGGGAAGGAGCUGAAAAAAAUCAAUUUUUCAUAGCCUCCUUUUCCAUCUUUCCCAUAUUUUUGUGGUACUUGGAAAGGCGCAGAACCACUGUACUAGUUAUAAGAGAAACUGGGUCUUUGCCCAGACUCCAAAGACUCAGUCCCCCAUUAGUGCAUAUGCUCUGCCCAUAGUGACCAGCUCCUGGGCUGCUACAGUGAGUGCCCAGAGCUGACUGAGGAAUGCAGAGCUCGACUAGCUAUGGGAAGCUGCAGUGGUCUCAAAUAUUCUGGAAGGUUGGCAUGACCAGGGUUAACUGGAAUCUUAUUAAGAAACAGAGUAGGCUCCUCCCUGUGUCUCUUGGGAAGCUUUGGGCUUUAAGAAAUUCCAUUCAUUAUUCAAGAAUUCCUUCUGUUUGGCUUUAAAAACUCAGUGGUUCCAGACAUCAAACCUAGAAUGGCCAAUUGACACCUUCCAAUCCUCUGGUUUACCCUCACCAACAGAGAUAUCCAAAUCACCACCACUCUAAGGCUCCAUUCCACCAGGCUUCCACCAUGUGGGAAGGACCAGAUGAAUGGGUUUUAUACAUUCACAACAAAGCUGCAGGGAACUAACUUUUGAACCAAGCCAUGCACAUCAACACAUCAACAUCUACAAGCCCUGCUGUGUGUGUGUGGGGGGGGGGGGGUCCCUGAAGCUUCGGAAGAAGGAGGGAGGUUACCCAGAAGGGGGAGCUACUCUCUGGAUCACAUUACUGAACAAAGAAUAACUGGCUGCAGCUUGAAAGACCAUUCUUUCAACCAAAUUGGGUGAAUGGUAACAGACAGUGAAUGAUGAUGUUAACAGACAAUAUAGUUUAAAUAUAAGUUUCUGGAAAUUGUCUUGGACCCUCAUAAAAAAAAGCAAUCAAUGUGAAUGAAUAAUGUAACAUGACUACAAGACUGACCAUCUUCAUGCAUUCUAUGCAUCCUUCAAAACCCAAUUCAAAUGCAAAUGUUAGUGAAGCCUUCUCUUAUACCUCUACUUGAAAGUAUCGCUUCCUAUUUUGGAAGCCCAUAACACCUCUUUUAGGGCUUUAUUUUUCACUGUAUUAUGGUAAUUAUUUAUGUACAUUUCUUGCCUCAUAUUUAGUUCCUUGGGGUUUGUAUCAUCUUUAAAACCCCUCCAGUUCUAGCUCUGCACCAGACAUAGUAGGUGUUCAAUAAAUAUUUGAUAGCCAAGUGAAUGAUUGAAUUUGAAAUGGGAAUACUGUUCUGGCAGGAAAGCUCCAGUGGGAUAAAAUAAAUCUAUUAUCUGCCACCUUGUUCGUGCCAAGAGGAUCAGGACAUGGCAGACCCAGUGCUCUGAGAAAUCCAAGGUCAAAGAGUCUCUACCAUGGCUGUACCACAUCUCAAAUUCAGGUAUCAUUUGUACCAUUCAAAUUCUAUCAUUUGCCACAUCCCAUUGAAAUAUACCUCCUACCUCUGAUUUCAAAGUUCCUCAAGCAUAGAAGUUGUUCCUGUUCAAAGCAGGGCAUCCAGAAAGCAGCUAGCGAGUCAGAAGUGAAUUCCAAAUUGAAGAUUUCUCUGGAAGUUUAAGACCAAGUAACAACCAUAAACAGAACUAAAUGCAUCUCUGUCUAGAAUACUCACAUCCCAAGACAGCCUUCUCCCUUCAAAGGGGGCAGACUAGUAACAAUGAAAAAAAUAUCACAUCCAGACUAGUAACAACGAAAGGAAGAUCACAGCAUCCUCAUGGCAGUACAAAAACUUCCCACAACAGCCCUACAGCAACAGUCAAGCCCCAAAAUUAACCCACUUUGCAGAGACCUGGUCUCUGCUCAGAAAAGAAAGGGGAGAAGAUACAAUACCUUUCCACAAUGAGGUGAUGUUCUACACCCCUUCCCCACUCCCAUGCUUGUUCUGACAUGUCCCGGAUUCCCUCUCAACCAAGGGAGUUACGCUCAUGUGUCAGCAGUGGAGCACUACAUGGACAAAACUGGCUCGUCUGGGUCAGAAGUCAUGUCAUGUCCUCUACUAGGUUUACUUUUAAGAGUUUGAUCCACUCAGAUCCUUCCCCUCUAAGAAAAAGAGUAAACCCAGUGCUUAGGGCUACCAACACAUACACCUAAAAAGUCUCUAUUUUUGAUGCAGCAAAUUCCUUAUGUUCACUCUGAAAUCUCCUACUUAUCUCUGUCUUAGUAGUGAUUUGGAGGUGCAAUAGGUGUGGGCAUACAGGAAGGGUGGCACCAAGUGUGGAAAUGGCCCAUAACCUGCCUGCAAAGAGAAGUCAGCCCAGUAUUCAAGCUUCAGAAAAGUCUCCAGUAAACAAAGUGUCCCUUGUGGGAGAACCGGGGACUCUGAGAUGCUAGGAAGAUGGAGCAAAAAGAGGAUGGUGUGGAUAGCUAUGUAGUGAACUUUCUCUGGGCACUAGGUGGGCUGGAGGGUAAUGCUACAAGAAGGACUCACACAGAACCCCACCUAAAAACUGGCUUCUCUCAAUCUGCAAUAGUUAUGUCAACAAAAGAACAGGGAAUAAUAAGAAUUGUGCUUUAUCGUACCUAAAAAAACAAAUCAAAACUUUUCUUAAGCAUUUAAUUAUUUCAAAAGAAAUCUUGUAAUCCGGGGAAGCUCAGUGAGAUGGUAAAUUCCUCAGAAUCAAAAACCAAAUUUGGAAGCAUAUUGUCAUUGUGCCUCUGUGUGUGUGUGUGUGUGUGUGUGUGUGUGUGCAUGUGAGUGAAUAUAUCAUAUAUUCCCACUCACCUACUUACAGGUAUAUAUAGAAAUACAUAUUUAUCAAUGGAUUUUCCUCCCUUCAAGUCAACACCAGUGUGUUCCACCUUCAGUACACAUGUAUUAUCUGCAUUCCAAUUCAUAGACAGACCAUUAAUACCAUAAAAAGAGAGAAAUAGCUGAGAAUAGGCAAAGUAUAACCUAGCAAGAAUUGUUUUAAGUGCCGGUUCAAACAGAGCAAACCUCCCCCAAAUACAAGCUAAAAUGUCUGUUAUUAAUACACACUCGCAAUUCUUUAAGGUCAUCAGAAGAAAAAAGGGCAGAGAAAAAGACAUAUUAUGAAAUUGAAUCUUAAGUGUUUUCCUUUUUUGUAGUCUUUGUAUGUAUUUUAAGGGAAAACUCGCCAUUUGUAGAAAUGAUUCUCCCCCCUUCAGUUACUUUUCCCUAGCUCUCUCUAGAGCUAGGGAAUAAUAAAAACAUGUACAGAGUUUUGCUGAUUUAUCAUUUUUAAGAAUCUUUCAUUCUAACUUAUAGAUCUUUCUUUAUCCUAUUUAAAACAUUUAAUGAGUUCGAGAAAUGUCAUAUAUUUCGGCAAAAGACACAGAAAAACAAGGGUUGUUGAACUAUACAAAGUAUCUAGGGCUCACGACUUAGAUGUGCUUAGCUUAAGGAAAAUAAUUGUGUUUAAACACAUAGAAAAAGGGAAUCAAUUGCAGACAAUCCACCUUGAAUUUUCUAUUUAAGAUGCUUUCACCCUGUACUGUAAUUGGUCAGGAUUCUUCCGAAAAUUUUGAGUCUUUAUGGCAUCGCUGGCUUGUAGAUUACAAAUGUUUCCAAAUCACCAUCCCUCUUAACACAUAGUAUGGAAAGAGUUCCAGAAAGUUUAGAGAAGAUGUGAGGGCUGGGCACAAGGUAGUUCACCACCAAAUAGCACAACACACAAAAUCAACCUAGAGAAAACAGCAAAAUCAAAAAGUUGAAAGCAGCCAGGUCAGACUAGAAUGCUAGGGUGUCAGUGAGUACCAUAUUCCAUGCCAAGAAAUUGAAAUUAAAAAAAGAAAAAAAAAAGAAAGUUGGACAUAAAUCAAUAUUGAAAGCUUCAAAAAGUCAAAGCCAAACCAAUGUUUCCUUUUUCCCCCUAUGCACAAACCUUUUGUUUUAAACCCAAUGGCAUUGAGAUCAGUAAUUUUAUCUGGAAGAUUCAAGUCUGCAGAGACACUCCCCUUCCAUUGAUCACUUGAGUCCACAGAAAUAAAGCACCUUUGGAACCAAGAGUUGUUCAAGAAUCCUAGUGUCUUAUUCAAUGUGUUGAAAAAGUACAGUUAAAAUAAUUAGAAUAAUUCAUCAAAUGACAAACACAAUUAUAUUGACUCUAGUGAAUAGGCAAAAGGGCUCCCCAGGACAAUUCAUAACUAAGGAGAUAGAGCACAAUAAAAGGCUAUGACAUUUUAUGAAUAUUCUGUGUUAUAGCUUUGAACUUUAUUGCAAAGCAAAAAAUAUAUAUUUUUAUAUAUAUAUAUUUUUAUCUACAUUUCACCUCUGACAUUGUACACAACACGAAAGCACAGAAAACCAAAAAAAUCAUAAUGAGGUAGAUACAUAACACUUACAGAUGGAGGAGACUAAAGAGUUUAAAUUUGGCUUAAUACUGUGGUCACCAAUGUAUGCAUUUUCAACACAGCAGCAAGCAUUGAUUCACAGGGCAAGAAGCCCAGUGAUCUCAAACCCAAAAAUAAGCCCCAUUAAAAAAUACCUGCUUCAAAAUGAAAAAAAAAACAUUUUUUUAAAAGUCAGGGAAUCAGAUGUGUUCAAUCGCAAACCCUGGUGAAAUAAAAAAGAAGGGGGGAGGUUGUUUUUGCUUUUGUGCCAGGAGAAAAAAAAAAAGUAAUUUUCACCUAUCCAAUUAGGAGUAACCUGUCCCAUAGGUUUCUUCUGUGUAUUCCUGCUCAGUGGGGUUGGGUCAGCCUCAGGAGCUCUGUAGCCAGCUGUUGACGGUAAGGAAAUAGGGUUUCCUUCUUCCUUUUCCCUAGGGUAAUGCUCACCUCUGCAGCCACAGUGACAGGGACCACUAGCUUUUGAGGGCUCCUGAAACAUGCCAGGAAAUGGCUGGAAAUCAAUAUAGCUGUGAAGUCUCUAGUAUAGCUCUACCUUUCUAGGAUCAUGUGCUCUCUUGGUGGGUGAGGCAAGGGUUUGGGACACUGGGAUCACCUCAUUCCCCUAUCAAUCCCUCUUAUACCCUUUCCAAUGGAGAGCUGAGAAGGCCAUCUUCUGCCAUCUUCAAUUUUACUUAUGAAUGCAUUUUCACUGUAAAAUGUGAUGUCAGGUGGUGAUGGCUAUGGCAGAGACCACCUCCUUCCUUGUAUGCCGUCUUGAAUGGAAGGAGGACGGGGUGAAGAGAAGGGACCUGGAGAGGACACUUGGCUGGUUGAAGCAGCAGCUGGGAGAGCUGAGCAAUGGAAUGCCCAACUGAGGAAGGGGCAGGUCAGGCAAGUGCAGUUGGCCAAUGGAGACCUAAGGGGGUCCACCCAGAAAGCCAAGGAGUAACUUGGGUUUGUUGACAGUGCCUAGAAAACCCUGGAGACCCUAAAGAGAAUGUGGGAGAAGCAAGGCCCAGAGACAUUAAUGGGACUAAAAGUGGAAUAAAAUCAAACUCCCUUGGAUUGUUUAAUAGUUAUUUUUACGGUGGACGUGAUCUGCUUUUGGUAGGAUUUGCUCUGCUCCUAGAAAUAUCUGGGAACAGUUGCAGAACAGGUCAGCCUCAGGCAGGAGAGGAGACAGAGGGGUCCCAGAGGAAUGGUUGGUGAACUGGGGAUAAUGGAAGGAUGGGCAAGGAACUGAUAAGCAGCCACCUGGGAGAGAUUUGUCACAUGAGCAUAUUGUACCUUCAAGUCAGCCUAUGCUGGGCAGGGCCAGGCGCUGUUUUCUGGAAGCCAGAGUGUGAACAGUACUCUCCCAUGUGUUUGUGCAUCAUCUCCCCUGCUGGACCAUCUUUCCUCUUUGUCUUCCCAAUGCCUACCCCAGGGCCUAGCCAAUAGAGGGCAUCAUCAUGGUUGAACUGCAUUUUUAGAAAAUGGAGUAAGAGAAUGGAUUGGGAAAGAAGAGAAAGUGUCCAGUGUCAUAAAGGUUUUGAAGACCCCAUAUUCCCCCUCAAGGCAAUAGCUGGGUGUAUUUUUGCCUGCCUAGAUGCAUCUCAAGUGAAUACUCACAUUUGAAUUUUGAACAUAAAACAUACUUAGAGGAAAUAAUACAGUAGCAGGGCCCAAUGGGAAAGGAACUGAACACAAUUCAUCUGAAUAUAUGUCAAAACUGAGGUCUCAGCAAAGCUGGGCAACUGCUUCCAUCCUGACUGGCCUGGAAGAUCAGCGGGGUGGGGGGGGCAGUGUGUGCAAUCUGUCUUGAGUACUUAAUUCCAGAAGGCAAAGACAAAGUGAACUUGCAACUAUCACUCUCAAGUGAUUCCCAGUCUUACCUUACAGGAGAUCCUGGGCAAGGCAAGGCCAUGGGCACUUCCAAACAUCCCAAAGCUCACUAAUCCAGAGUCUAGAUCUCUGUCCCCUCAGAGACCCAAAGCAAAAGGAAUCAGUCAGGAUUGUAAGAUGCAUCAUUCAAGUCAUUAUAAGGUGGAGACUAUCUGACUACCAGGCAUUCAACAGUGAAUGAAGGCAAGGAGAAUUUUUUCCUUGGAGACCCUUGAGAAGAAGUUUGAUAUUUUUUUGUCUGUGUCUGUGAGGAGGAGCAAAAAUUAGGUGAUGUCUGAGUCUCCUUCAAACCCUGAGAUUCCAUUGUUUCUUUGUGCUCUGAAGAAGCUCCAGCUUUGCUCAAGGACUGAGGGAUUUUUCUUUGUGUAUAAUUGCUGGGACUAUGGCAGGAUUAGGAUAGGGUGUGUGCACGUGUGUGUGCAUGCAUUUGUGUGCACACGCAUGCAGGUAUGCUCAGAAGCUGUCCAGUAGGCAUUAAGCUGACAUAAUUGUAAGCAAACAUGUAAAGCAUGAGGCUGCCUCAGAGAAACAAUAAGUAGGGUGCAUUACUCCCUUCCCCUGACUCUCUCUAAUCUGCCCUUUCCUGCCCAUUUCCUGUCGUCCCUUGUGCUCUUCCUCUCUCAUUUAGAUAGUUUUUGUCCCCUUUGUCAGUGCACAUGACAGUGACAAUCACUUUCUUAAGCCUAAUAUUUUGAUGUUGGUCAUUUCAUUCCCUGGCUUAGGAAUUCACAGUGUCUUUCAACGACUUCUCAUCCCAAAUGACUUUCACCAAAUGCAAUAACCUGUCUCAUUAUUUUAUUACUUUUCUGGUUUGGAUUGAUCAUAGAGAUCACCAGGCUCACCCUUGUGUUUUAGAUAUGGGGAAACUGAAACUUACAGAAGGCAAGCUACUAGGCGAGGAAUGAUGGGUACAAGAGCAGAAUGCAGGUUCCCAGGCUGCCCCCACCACCAGUGCCCUUCCCCUGGCCUAACACAGGCAGCUUCUUGCCAUGCCUGGCCUAGAAUGGCUCUUACUCUCUGCCAUGUCAUAGGCAUUGUGUUCAGAAACCUACUCCGAAUUUACCCUGUGAGGCUUACAUUUCUGAAUCUGCCCUAACUCCAACCGUUCAACUCUUUUUACAGAUCCUUGGAGAAAUAACCCACUUAUCUGGAAAUCUCCUCACCUUUUAAGACCACACACAAAAGUAACAACAACAAAACCUACAGAAAGAAGACACAGAAGUUCUCAGGCCAACCAGAAAAGACAUCUCAAAGUGUUUAUAGGGAGGCUCCCAUUCCAUGGAAGUCUUCAAGAACUCAUACUGUACAGGUCAUGCUCAGGGUGACCUGUGGGAAACAGGCAUCAUUUUUCCUGGGGAUACCUUAUUGCAUAAAUGGUCACUAAAUUUGUAAGUGCCCUAAAACCUCCCACACUCUCUUAGCCUCUCUGGCCAUCUGCAAGAAAACAAAAAUGCCAAGACUGCCUUCAUCCCAGCUGGUCCUUGAUGGGUGCUCUGAGCUACCUGGCCUUUAUGAGCUGUUGGGAAAGGACAUGAGUGGAGCCUGGAUCUUGAGGAAGAGUGGGA
Molecule: long non-coding RNA, 43000 nt
Filed under: Lynx pardinus (Iberian lynx)
Lineage: Eukaryota; Metazoa; Chordata; Mammalia; Carnivora; Felidae
Source: RNAcentral